CCUAACACAUGCAAGUCGAACGGUAACAGGAAGAAGCUUGCUUCUUUGCUGACGAGUGGCGGACGGGUGAGUAAUGUCUGGGAAACUGCCUGAUGGAGGGGGAUAACUACUGGAAACGGUAGCUAAUACCGCAUAACGUCGCAAGACCAAAGAGGGGGACCUUCGGGCCUCUUGCCAUCGGAUGUGCCCAGAUGGGAUUAGCUAGUAGGUGGGGUAACGGCUCACCUAGGCGACGAUCCCUAGCUGGUCUGAGAGGAUGACCAGCCACACUGGAACUGAGACACGGUCCAGACUCCUACGGGAGGCAGCAGUGGGGAAUAUUGCACAAUGGGCGCAAGCCUGAUGCAGCCAUGCCGCGUGUAUGAAGAAGGCCCUCGGGUUGUAAAU
This 387-nucleotide ribosomal RNA is filed under the name uncultured bacterium. RNAcentral describes it as "bacterial SSU rRNA". It matches the Rfam family "Bacterial small subunit ribosomal RNA", at positions 47 to 430 of the family's 1533-position model. The record is from RNAcentral.